Molecule: long non-coding RNA, 1192 nt
Organism: Zalophus californianus (California sea lion)
Lineage: Eukaryota; Metazoa; Chordata; Mammalia; Carnivora; Otariidae
Exons: 3
Source: RefSeq, a predicted model, not a curated record
GCCUUCGGCCCUCGCUCCCGCCCACAGCACAGGGAGGGGCUGGGCCAGGCUGCUGUGCUUCACGCGGCAGGAGUAGGAGCUGGAGGCUCUGUCCUGCAGGGAAACUGACAUCACCACCCAGGACUGGGAACCUUUGUGAAGAUCAGGCAAGGCUGGGGGUUCCCAGGAGCCUCCUCGUUGGAUCGUGGAAUGACCGCAACAGCCCUCGGGCUCCCGUCCCUCCACCGUGCAUUGACAUCUGAUGGCAAGAAAUUGUGACUACCCCCCCAUACAUUUUUCUGUUUUUUCCCAAACUUCUGAGUGAGCUUUGGGGCUCCCUCCUCCCCCAGUCUCAGCUCCGUGCCUUAAUUAUGCCGUGGCUCUAUCCAUCAGACCCAUGACUGCUCUGUCCCACAGGACCCUCGUUCUCAUUGUUUCCCAAACCAAAGUCUCGGCUUGUGACAACCAAGCUCUGACAGGCAGGCAUUUUCCACACCUGCCUUCAUUCACUGCCCAGCUGGGAGGCGUCAUCCUAGAGACACCACCUGGGCCUGAGAUGCUCCCCGGGCUCCCAGCCUGAGAUCACCUUGGUCUUUCUCAGCUCAGCGCGGGGGGGAGCAGGACCUAGGAAGCGGGGGGUACCUUGUCGGUCCAGGUUAUUAGUGGCUGUCCCACGUGAUGGGAUGAUCGGGACCGACGAUGUUCUAGCUUUCAUGGAAUUUGCAUAGGUAAGUUUUGUGGAAUCUUUUGGAGGUUCCAAUUUCACAGAUUCAGACCAGAUAAUUAAGAACAUGUUCAUUGUCAAACAGCUAGUGACUGGCCAGGCCACCAUGUGAACCCAGGUCUGACGGACCCCAGGGUUAGCACACUCUUUCCAACAUCCCUGGGCAGGGGAGCCUGAUGCCUUCUAAAGUAGGAUCAGCCUCAGACAGGUUGGGCUGUGCAGCUGAGAGGUGACGCAUGCCUGGAUGAGAGCUGACUCUGACAUCACUUCCUGUCAGAGCUGAGGCCUAGGAGUGAGGAUGGGACGGGAUGGGGCAGGGGGAGAGCGGAUGCGCUGUGGGGUGGGGGUGGGGGGUGCAGAGUGUCUGCGUAUUUCUACCCUGCUCUCCGUUCCUCCUUCGGGACGGGGAUUACUUCCAUCCUGCUGACCCCUCUCCACUCACCCCUGCAGGGCUGCCUCUUGAGCUAAGACCCUCCACUCCAGCAGUCC